CAUCCAAAGGUCCCAGAGCGACAGCCGUGACACUAGCCGUAUGACCAGUGAAUACAUGAAUACAUUUAUAAACAUUAUCUUCAAUGUUUAAAUUCCAAAGACGCACAGUAUUAUCUUUAGCACCAGUUGCCAACCAAACACCAUCUUCAGAUGAAUCCAAAGUAAGGACUAUAUCAGUAUGACCCUCAAGCACCCCAAAGACUUGUGUACCGUCUGUGGAAAUAACAUCUAUAAACUCGGUAUUACUGCAAACAGCCAAAUGAUCGUCUCCAAUCCAAGCACAAUCGAUGACUUCAUCAAAAGAUCCGUUGAGUUUUUUAAUGGUAAUAAAGCCUUCGCCAGGAACUCUCUUACGCAACAAGAGACUUAAAUCGGAAUGUACAGACAAAAGUGUGUUUUCAGAAAAUGGUACGACUUGUAUAAUUGCAUUCGUUUCUGAAUGAGUAGUAUCAACACCUGGAUCAAGUCGGGAACCAGAUUUCCAAUCCCAUGCUAAAAUAAGAUUACCUUCACCAGCUGUAUACAAAAUUUUUUCUUCAGGCUGUCCAUUGACCCAACCUAUGGCCUCGACGCUAUGGAAAACAGGAAUCGUUCUGACUGCAGAACGCUUCUUAAUAUUCCAAACCUGAACCGUUUUAUCUCUAGAUCCACUGAGAAGAAAUGAACCAGUUGGUUCAAAUGUCAAUCCACGAAUAACACUGCUAUGACCUUCGAAAACAGCCAUGGAUCGACUAGAGUUUAAAUCCCACAAUCUGACUCGAGAAUCAUCGGCACCAGAAGCCAAAACCCAAGUAUUUUGAUGCUUGCCAAAGCAUAAUGCACUAAUGACACCGCCAUGACCCCGAAAACUAUGAGUUACAUAUGCUCCAGCAAUGUCCCAUACUUUUACUAAUCCCUCAGCACCUCCCGUAGCUAACAAUGUAUUAGUGGGAUCUAUUGUCAUCGUAAUUACCGGAGUUUCAUGAGCUUUCAUCGAUUUUAUACGCCGUCCGGAAGGAAUCUCAUAAAUAGUAAGUAGUCUCGACCGAAAAGCCGCAAUAAGUUUUUUUGAAUCGCUAGUUAUCGCCAAGGCUGUAACGUAAUCGUCCUCAUCCUUUUUUAUAGAAAAAAGACGCUCUCCAGUCUCACUACGGGUUCCAAUUAUACGAUCAGUUAAAGCAGUAACAAGAAUCUUCUCAUUAGAGUCG
Molecule: non-coding RNA, 1187 nt
Organism: Schizosaccharomyces pombe (fission yeast)
Lineage: Eukaryota; Fungi; Ascomycota; Schizosaccharomycetes; Schizosaccharomycetales; Schizosaccharomycetaceae
Source: the annotation of a GenBank genome assembly